GACGGAGGGUGCUAGCGUUGUUCGGAAUCACUGGGCGUAAAGAGCUCGUAGGCGGUGUGUCGCGUCGGCCGUGAAAACCUGCAGCUUAACUGUGGGCUUGCGGUCGAUACGGGCAUCACUGGAGUUCGGCAGGGGAGACUGGAAUUCCUGGUGUAGCGGUGAAAUGCGCAGAUAUCAGGAGGAACACCGGUGGCGAAGGCGGGUCUCUGGGCCGAUACUGACGCUGAGGAGCGAAAGCGUGGGGAGCGAACAGG
Molecule: ribosomal RNA, 254 nt
Filed under: uncultured bacterium
Lineage: Bacteria
Description: partial 16S ribosomal RNA
Rfam family: Bacterial small subunit ribosomal RNA
Source: RNAcentral